Molecule: non-coding RNA, 204 nt
Filed under: Desulfobulbaceae bacterium
Lineage: Bacteria; Pseudomonadati; Thermodesulfobacteriota; Desulfobulbia; Desulfobulbales; Desulfobulbaceae
Source: RNAcentral
AGCAGAUAUACCUUCGCUGGUGCUCUCACGAGCUUGAUAGGGAAUCCCGUGCAAACCGGGAACGGGCCCGCCGCUGUAACCCCUCCCCGCCCUGGCGGGGAACCUUGCCGGCCAUGGCGUGUCACUGCCCCCCCCCCACGGGGACGGGAAGACCGCCGGCAAGAGGGGGGGAGUCAGAAGACCUGCCCGCGAAGGACAACAACG